RNAcentral lists this ribosomal RNA (577 nucleotides) under uncultured bacterium. RNAcentral's name for it is "bacterial SSU rRNA". It matches the Rfam family "Bacterial small subunit ribosomal RNA", at positions 102 to 694 of the family's 1533-position model. The record is from RNAcentral.
AUGGGUGAGUAACGCGUUGGUGACCUGCCCCGAAGAGGGGGAUAACAGUUCGAAAGGACUGCUAAUACCUCAUGUGGUUAUAAGGACUAGAUGCCUUAUAUCUAAAGGAGUAAUCCGCUUCGGGAGGGGCCUGCGUCCCAUCAGCUAGUUGGUAGGGUAAUGGCCUACCAAGGCUACGACGGGUAGGGGGCCUGAGAGGGUGGCCCCCCACACUGGCACUGAAACACGGGCCAGACACCUACGGGUGGCAGCAGUAGGGAAUAUUGCACAAUGGGCGAAAGCCUGAUGCAGCAACGCCGCGUGCACGAUGAAGGCCUUCGGGUCGUAAAGUGCUUUUUGGGGAGAUGAGGAAGGACAGUAUCCCCAGAAUAAGGUUCGGCUAACUACGUGCCAGCAGCCGCGGUAACACGUAGGAAUCGAGCGUUAUCCGAAUUUACUGGGCGUAAAGCGCGUGCAGGCGGUUUGGUAAGUUGGAUGUGAAAGCUCCUGGCUCAACUAGGAGAGGCCGUUCAAAACUACCAGACUUGAGGACGGUAGAGGAAGGUGGAAUUCCCGGUGUAGUAGUGAAAUGCGUAGA